RNAcentral lists this small nuclear RNA (18 nucleotides) under Arabidopsis thaliana (thale cress). RNAcentral's name for it is "snRNA_00475". Lineage: Eukaryota; Viridiplantae; Streptophyta; Magnoliopsida; Brassicales; Brassicaceae. The record is from RNAcentral.
AAAGUGAAGAAAUUCAAC